Long non-coding RNA from Oncorhynchus mykiss (rainbow trout), 3341 nucleotides. RefSeq lists it as uncharacterized. NCBI's taxonomy places the organism in Eukaryota, Metazoa, Chordata, Actinopteri, Salmoniformes, Salmonidae. The record is from RefSeq and is a predicted model, not a curated record.
UCAUUUCUCAAGUGAUGACUAAUCUGGAAUAGAUUAAUAUCGAAACUAGUUAGUUAUUUCAACACAGUUACAUUUCAGAACCUAACCAACACACGGAGACAACUUCCUGCCACGAGCGUUUCGCAAGAUGAGAACCGAGACAAGGUAGUCACAGUUUGGAUGGUGGAUUUCUUAUCCAAGACUAUUCAGGACAUUCACAAGGACAGUGGGAAUACAGGUGCCACGAUUACAAUAUGGCUGGCAGCAGACAGAGAAGAGAAGCCUUGCGUAUCGCUGGGAAACACAGCCUCCUGCCUCCCCGUCUGACAGGCCUAUGUUGUCAUGGCAACAUGCUGUGGCGCAGCACUUAUUGGGAUUCAGAUUCAGACGGAUGGCGGGGCUGGUGGGCGACUGCAUUAGCCGUCCGGGGAUUUGGUUUGGUCCUUCCUCGCAGCGAGCCCUGCCUGUCUGAGAGCCACAGCACCGCAGAACUCCCAGGCUCCAACACCACCGCAAUGGAGGCUCGCCACCCUUUGUUUCCACUCUGGAUAUGUGUCAGUGUGUGUGUGUGAGUCUGCAGCAGAAAUGCAGCAGCCCGAUGGACUUUUCUCUCUUCUGCUUAUGGCAGGCGAUGUGCUUCAGCCUUGAUGCUGAUUUCCCCUGGUUUGUGCCGCUUUCCUUGUAUUUUCAUCUGGAAAUUGCCCGCAUAUCUGCGGUUUCAGUUGAUUCUUUUCAAUAAGGGCUGAUAUGACCAAUUUUCUCUCAUCUUGAUGUGCUUUACUCUGUUCACACAUUGAGCGGAAAUUUUGAAUUUGUCAUGAACGGUUCUCUUUGCCACACCCUAGUACACUGUGCCUUAGAAUAUCAUGCGAUAUGCAUUUUCAAAACCUUAAAUUUAAAUUCCCUAAUUUCUGUGAUCCACAAGGCGAGAACAAAACUGUCUUGAAUACAAGCUGUCUAGUCAAACAGAGCGAAAAUGGCAUAGCAGAACCCAGUCAAGCCACCCCAUGCAAUAUGUGUAUUUCCGUUAAAGAUAGAUUGUAGAUUGGUUGGAAACGUGCAGAACAUACCUUUGCGAAUCAGAUAAAAUGACACAGAAGGCGAACAGCUGACACAGAAGGCGAACAGCCAAAAACAUUACGCAGUGUCCUUCCACUAUAGUUCAUAUUCUCUACCGUUCAGGAAAAAAAACUUUUGUGAAAGGAAGGCGAAAGUAAGCACUUUUUUUUCUAGACUCGUCGCUGCUCAGUGGUGCCGUUGGAGGCAGAGCUUUCGCUGUUGUCUUUCUUUCCUCCUCUCCCUCUCUCAUUCCCUCCCUCUCUCGUUCUACGCUGCUCACUCUGCUUCAACGUCCUUCGUCUCUCCCUAGGUCCUGGUCGAGUACUCCCGCACUCUCCUCUUCCACCCAGUCCUGUCCUGGCUUGCCCCAGCUCUCAGACCAUUGACCACAGGAUUCCCACAUUGAAGUUUAAAAAUAACUAGACUGGACUAUGGGUCUGUCUGCUGCCUCUGUGCUGCCCGGGCAACUGAAGCCCAGCGGCAUCUACUUUGCAGUCGCCAAGCAGGAAACGGCAACUUUAUUAAUCAUGGCUGAGGACGGUAAGAGAGAGCGGCUCAGUGCUACAUCACACAGCACUACGCCGUGCUGCACAGAUCACAGAGAAAACACCUAGGUAGCACGCCUGCUACCGUUGUUACGACGAUACAACGUCAACCAUACCACAAAGUGCACCCACAAUCACAUUUCUGCUCAACUUCUACACCGACACCAUUCAUACUGUAUCUCACAGUCCAAAAGGGAAGCUGGCUCUGUAGCUCACUUUCAAACAGUCACAUCACGCUCUCCAUCUGUCUCAUACCUAUGCACACAUGCACUUUCUCUUUGUGUGUGCUACUGUGUACACUCAACCCUCUCUCGCUCUUUGUCAGCACAUCUGUGUGCAUUGGCUCAUGAACAUGAUAGGCCUACAAAGCUUGUUUGUAUAUAGCAGCAUAAUCAAUGAGAUAUCUGUGACUAUAUAUGGUUUAUUUCUCUCAUCUACUUCUGCACUUUCAAAGUAAGAGAAAGUGAGAGAAAAAAAGGAUGUAGAAGAGAGCAGGGGGAGAGGAGGACCGUCAUAUUUGUGGAGGCUGCUGAUGGAUGGGAACACAGAGGGAUGCCUCAGCACUGCAGAGUGCAGGAGGGAGGGGCUAAACCAGGCAGGCAGGGCAAUGCUAGCCCCACCAGCUGCUGUAGAUGCACACAGUUGCUUUAUGCGUAUGAAGGCGGAGGGGUUUUAUUACAAGUGUUUUUGAAUUUUCAAACGUGUCUUUGCUUUCUUUCCGGGGUCAGGGAUGAGGCUUCUGCACCCGGGUGUGAAAUCCAUGCACAUUUUACAUUUACUUGGUCUCACAGAACAGAUUUGCCUCAUGAAAUGCAUGGAAGACAUUUGUUGUGCACUUUCUACCAGUGUUCGUUCAGCUUAUCAUGAAAAUCCCUGUGCCUCUGUCCCCUCCUGCUUUCUGUGCUUUCUCUCUCCUCUGCUCAUUACUAGUCACAUGGCCUUGUGUUGUGAUCGAGACGCACACAAUUAACCACAAGCUCAGCCGUCUGCCAGCUAUUUCUGGUGCAGACCUACCCGGCUUGAUUGUUGACAUUACCUGAGUGCGAUCAAGGCCCCUGUCUGCAUUGGCCUGGGUAGGCAGUACACCAGCCUGGAGCACGCCAGCCCUCACAUUUCUGUAAGCCGUUGCACUUUGGCAUGACCUUGUUGCUGUGGCAACCUUUGAAAACAGUGCUACCUUAACAGCAUGGUGGUAUGAAACAGUAAAGGUUGCGAACCUUACACGUUCUGGGAGGGAGCCUCUUAAAGCCAAAGGAAAUAUGAUUUGACAUGUUUGAGUGGCCACUAUCAUGCCUUUAUCUCAGUUUUUCCUUUGGUGUCUUUCCGUUCUCUUCAGUGUUAAGACAUUCCUGCUAUGUAUGGUUAAUGGUCUUGCCUGCUUCCUCCCCACUUUUCCUGUAUUUGUAGUCUUGCCUGCACAAUCGAUUUCCACUGGUGCACUGCAGGGGAACUCAACAUCCCAAAACAAAUAAUAAGUCUAGUCCUCCUUUACCAUCCAUGCUGGGUUUAAAAAAAAUAAAAAAUAAAAAAAAAAUAAGUUUUGAGAAUUGCAAAUGAAGUGCCUGCAGUACCUACUGUUUGUCUCAAUUACCACAACCCGUCUCCCACAGUAUUUGUUAGUACUUCGAAUGUCUUGCAAACAAAGAAUACAUAAAGAGUGGUUGAAAUUUGAACAAAUCAUUUGGACAAAUUUAUAUUGCUAUGAACACAUGAUUAUUUGUGGAUAUUGGAGAAAUUAAAAUGAUCCAACCUGCUGAU